RNAcentral lists this non-coding RNA (240 nucleotides) under Caldibacillus debilis. RNAcentral's name for it is "T-box sequence". It matches the Rfam family "T-box leader". Rfam says of the family: Uncharged tRNA acts as the effector for transcription antitermination of genes in the T-box leader family. T-boxes are found upstream of many aminoacyl-tRNA synthetase genes and some amino acid biosynthetic genes usually in Gram-positive bacteria. The record is from RNAcentral. Lineage: Bacteria; Bacillati; Bacillota; Bacilli; Caryophanales; Bacillaceae.
GCGGAUCCAAUGAUGGAGAGAAGUAGUCUUGACCCACAUGGAAAGAGAGGGAAUGCCCCGGAUGAAAGCAUUCCUCCAUGAUGGCAAGACGAAAGACACUCCGGAGGAUGGUCCCCGAAAGAAAGCCCUUUUUGAGUAGGGGAUUCACGCGGGCAGGCGUUAGCUGCGGAAGCGGAAAAAGACUCGGGGAAGUCUUUUUCAAUUAGGGUGGCACCGCGGGUAUUUUUGCUCGUCCCUGAU